UUUGGUUUCGACGGGGAUGUGGAAUCAAGAGUAGCGAGUCGUUGUAGCCAAGCAACGUAAAAAGUGGCACAAAAAAUUAAUUAACGAUAAUAAUUACGCAUUUGCAGCUUAGAUAAAGCUGUCCGUUCUACCUCAGUAGCCCACGGCUAAGGAUAGAACGUCAACUUAGUGGGGAACCGCACCUUGCAAAGCUUUGAGCUUGGGACGGAACUUAUGAAGCUACCAAGGCUUAUAUCCCGUCAGUAGGAGAUAAGUUAAGGGAAAGUUAAAUUACUGGCUGCGCUCGGAGAAACUCUUGUGGAAAUGUUUUCGGACGUGGGUUCGAUUCA
Molecule: transfer-messenger RNA, 329 nt
Filed under: Candidatus Methanofastidiosia archaeon
Lineage: Archaea; Methanobacteriati; Methanobacteriota; Candidatus Methanofastidiosia
Rfam family: transfer-messenger RNA
About the family: Bacterial tmRNA, also known as 10Sa RNA or SsrA, is named for its dual tRNA and mRNA-like properties. Its role is to liberate the mRNA from a stalled ribosome. To accomplish this part of the tmRNA is used as a reading frame that ends in a translation stop signal.
Source: RNAcentral